This 443-nucleotide ribosomal RNA is filed under the name uncultured bacterium. Its description in RNAcentral is "partial 16S ribosomal RNA". It matches the Rfam family "Bacterial small subunit ribosomal RNA", at positions 338 to 795 of the family's 1533-position model. The record is from RNAcentral.
CCUACGGGCGGCAGCAGUGGGGAAUAUUGGACAAUGGGCGCAAGCCUGACCCAGCAACGCCGCGUGAAGGAAGAAGGCUUUCGGGUUGUAAACUUCUUUUCUCAGGGACGAAGCAAGUGACGGUACCUGAGGAAUAAGCCACGGCUAACUACGUGCCAGCAGCCGCGGUAAUACGUAGGUGGCAAGCGUUAUCCGGAUUUACUGGGUGUAAAGGGCGUGUAGGCGGGAAAGCAAGUCAGAUGUGAAAACCAUGGGCUCAACCUGUGAACUGCAUUUGAAACUGUUUUUCUUGAGUACUGGAGAGGGAGACGGAAUUCCUAGUGUAGCGGUGAAAUGCGUAGAGAUUAGGAGGAACACCAGUGGCGAAGGCGGUCUCCUGGACAGCAACUGACGCUGAGGUGCGAAAGCGUGGGGAGCAAACAGGAUUAGAUACCCCAGUAGUC